CAGUGAGUGGGGGAGAGACAGAAGAAUAACCUCAGAAUGGAGGAAGAAGAAUAUGAGGAAGUUGUGGAGUACUACAUUGAAGAGACAAUUAUUGAGGAGGGUGAACCGGAGGAGGUGAUCACUGAGAUCACUGAGACCAUUAGUACAGAGGUCACGGGUCCUCAGACUACCACCUAUACUAUUGAGCAUGGAAAACCUACUAUUGAGCGUGGAAAACCUACUAUUGAGCGUGAAAAAUCUACUACUGAGCAUAAAAAACCUUCUGUUGAGGAUGCAGCACCUCCAGUCAGAAAGAGGACAGUACGGACAAAAGUGGACCCAUCUAAGUUUUUGACACCUUAUCUGCAACACAGUAAUAA
This 359-nucleotide long non-coding RNA is filed under the name Athene cunicularia (burrowing owl). Its description in RNAcentral is "lncRNA (ENSACUG00000014368.1)". Lineage: Eukaryota; Metazoa; Chordata; Aves; Strigiformes; Strigidae. The record is from RNAcentral.